This 551-nucleotide long non-coding RNA is filed under the name Equus caballus (horse). RNAcentral's name for it is "lncRNA (ENSECAG00000046466.1)". The record is from RNAcentral. Lineage: Eukaryota; Metazoa; Chordata; Mammalia; Perissodactyla; Equidae.
UUUCUUCUUUGUUUCUGCUCCUUGGAGAUUUGUUUCUUCUUAUUCUAUCUCUCCUUUAUUUUUUUGUCCUUAAAGUGUUGGCUUCUUCCUCAAAUAUCACCAUUAUUCCUCUUCUUUUAUAAUACUUUUUUUCUCACUCUAACAGAGCAUCCGGAGGGGGUGUCUUUAUGAGCGACUGAACAACUUGACAAUGAAAGCAUAUACAGUCGUUAAAAAGAGUGGAAGGGGAAGGACUGCUUGCUACAUUGAGACGUGACGAAAGAGGAGCGCGUGUGUGAACAAAGCUAUGAAACAGUUAUUUACUGAGGGAUUCCUGCGUGCCGACACUGCACAUCGGUGAACUCAAGCAGCCCUCAAAAUAAAGCCACAAACCGAUAUUUGACGCCUCCACUUCAUCGAUGAGCAACGUGCUAACUCCCUAAGACCACACAGCUGAGUCGAGGAAACAACGAGAUUUAAAGUCAAAUCUUUGGGAUUCUCAAGCUGAUCUUUCCCCACCAUAUUAUACUUUCUUUCAUGGAGUAAUGAAUAAAACAUACAUUUCAAACAAG